CACGCAGGUGGCUAAGUCAGUCGAUUGUGAAAGCCCUGGGCUUAACCUGGGAAUUGCAGUCGAUACUACUUGGCUAGAGUAUGGGAGAGGGCAGUGGAAUUCCCGGUGUAGCGGUGAAAUGCGUAGAGAUGUGGAAGAAUACCAGAGGCGAAGGCGGCCUCCUGGACAGAUACUGACACUGAGGUGCGAAAGCGUGGGUAGCAAACA
RNAcentral lists this ribosomal RNA (207 nucleotides) under uncultured bacterium. Its description in RNAcentral is "partial 16S ribosomal RNA". It matches the Rfam family "Bacterial small subunit ribosomal RNA", at positions 568 to 774 of the family's 1533-position model. The record is from RNAcentral.